Molecule: ribosomal RNA, 468 nt
Filed under: uncultured bacterium
Lineage: Bacteria
Description: partial 16S ribosomal RNA
Rfam family: Bacterial small subunit ribosomal RNA
Source: RNAcentral
GACGAACGCUGGCGGCGUGCUUAACACAUGCAAGUCGAACGGAAAGGCCCUGCUUUUGUGGGGUGCUCGAGUGGCGAACGUGUGAGUAACACGUGAGUAACCUGCCCUUGACUUUGUGAUAACUUCAUGAAACUGUUGCUAAUACCGGAUAGGAGCUCCUGCUGCAUGUUGGUGGUUGGAAUGUUUCGUCGGUUGGGGAUUGACUCGCGGGUUAUCAGCUUGUUGGUGGGGUAGUGGCUUACCAAGGCUUUGACGGGUAGCCGGCCUGAGAGGUUGACAGGCCAAAUUGGGACUGAGAUACGGCCAAGACUCCUACGGGAGGCAGCAGUGGGGAAUAGUGAACAAUGGGCGGAAGCCUGAUGCAGCAACGCAGCGUGCGGGAUGACGGCCUUCGGGUUGUAAACCGCUUUCGCCUGUGAAGAAGAGUGAGUGACGGUAAUGGGUAAAGAAGCACCGGCUAACUACGUG